Molecule: non-coding RNA, 252 nt
Organism: Ciona intestinalis (vase tunicate)
Lineage: Eukaryota; Metazoa; Chordata; Ascidiacea; Phlebobranchia; Cionidae
Source: RefSeq, a predicted model, not a curated record
AAUUCACGUCCCAUUAUUUUGUAUUUUGUUAGCCUUUUUAUUUUGUGUAUAGGGACAAGAAAAAGCAUUAAGCAAGACAUAUGUAUCUCUAAAAUAUUUUAAAUUAUCAGGCACGGGGUGCAUAGUUCAUAACACCCGAGGUAUAACGACUAUGGUUGCCUUUGCACGCGAGGAUAAAUAACUUAUAGCCCCCACUGAAUAUACAGGAUCGCUGGUUGGGUUAUAUGACUCCGUGCUGAUCCGACUUCAUAU